This 254-nucleotide ribosomal RNA is filed under the name uncultured bacterium. RNAcentral describes it as "partial 16S ribosomal RNA". It matches the Rfam family "Bacterial small subunit ribosomal RNA", at positions 524 to 776 of the family's 1533-position model. The record is from RNAcentral.
UACGUAGGGUGCAAGCGUUGUCCGGAUUUAUUGGGCGUAAAGAGCUCGUAGGCGGUUUGUCGCGUCGGAUGUGAAAAACCCAGGGCUCAACCCUGGGCCUGCAUUCGAUACGGGCAGACUAGAGUAUGGCAGGGGAGACUGGAAUUCCUGGUGUAGCGGUGGAAUGCGCAGAUAUCAGGAGGAACACCGAUGGCGAAGGCAGAUCUCUGGGCCGUAACUGACGCUGAGGAGCGAAAGCCAGGGGAGCGAACGGG